RNAcentral lists this ribosomal RNA (484 nucleotides) under uncultured bacterium. RNAcentral's name for it is "partial 16S ribosomal RNA". It matches the Rfam family "Bacterial small subunit ribosomal RNA", at positions 29 to 507 of the family's 1533-position model. The record is from RNAcentral.
AUUGAACGCUGGCGGCAUGCUUUACACAUGCAAGUCGAACGGCAGCGCGGGCUUCGGCCUGGCGGCGAGUGGCGAACGGGUGAGUAAUACAUCGGAACGUGCCCAGUAGUGGGGGAUAGCUCGGCGAAAGCCGGAUUAAUACCGCAUACGACCUGAGGGUGAAAGCGGGGGAUCUUCGGACCUCGCGCUAUUGGAGCGGCCGAUGGCAGAUUAGCUAGUUGGUGGGGUAAAGGCCUACCAGGGCGACGAUCUGUAGCUGGUCUGAGAGGACGACCAGCCACACUGGAACUGAGACACGGCCCAGACUCCUCGGGGAGGCAGAGGUGGGGAAUUUUGGCCAAUGGGGGAAAGCCGGAUCCAGAAAUGCGGCGUGUGUGAUGAAGGCCUUCGGGUUGAAAAGCCCGUUUGGCGGGAACGAAAAGGACUGUGCUAAUACCGCGGUUCGAUGACGGUACCCGCCAAAUAAGCACCGGCUAACUACGUG